RNAcentral lists this ribosomal RNA (490 nucleotides) under uncultured bacterium. RNAcentral's name for it is "bacterial SSU rRNA". It matches the Rfam family "Bacterial small subunit ribosomal RNA", at positions 28 to 509 of the family's 1533-position model. The record is from RNAcentral.
GACGAACGCUGGCGGCGUGGAUUAGGCAUGCAAGUCGAACGGUAUCAUCCUUUCGGGGAUGAGAGAGUGGCGAACGGGUGAGUAACACGUAGGUGAUCUACCCUCAAGACGGGGACAACCCAGGGAAACUUGGGCUAAUACCGGAUGUGAGCUAUCGUGAGAUAGUUUGAAAGGUGGCCUCGGCUGCCGCUUGAGGAUGAGCCUGCGUCCUAUUAGCUAGUUGGUGAGGUAACGGCUCACCGAGGCAGUGAUAGGUAGGCGGCCUUAACGGGUGGUCGCCCACACUGGGAUUGAGAUACGGCCCAGACUCCUACGGGAGGCAGCAGUCGAGAAUAGUCUACAAUGGUCGAAAGACUGAUAGUGCGACGCCGCGUGAACGAAGAAGCCCUUCGGGGUGUAAAGUUCUUUUAUAUGUGAGCAGUGACAUCUAUAUUAAUAGUAUGGGUGUAGAGAUAUUAGCAUAUGAAUAAGCAACGGCUAACUCCGUGCC